AUAUUAUUAGUAUAAUUGUCAUUAUAUCACUUUUCCAAAGUGGGGAUCUAAUUGUUUAGAUAAUAUA
Molecule: transfer RNA, 67 nt
Filed under: Sparganum proliferum
Lineage: Eukaryota; Metazoa; Platyhelminthes; Cestoda; Diphyllobothriidea; Diphyllobothriidae
Description: trnG(tcc)
Source: RNAcentral